UUUCCAGUGGGUUGCCUCCCUCGCCCCCUCUCCGGAGCCGUCCCCUCUGACUCACCGGUACGGGAGGUUGCGAGGUUCGCAGCUCGGGCUGGAAUA
Molecule: non-coding RNA, 96 nt
Organism: Ornithorhynchus anatinus (platypus)
Lineage: Eukaryota; Metazoa; Chordata; Mammalia; Monotremata; Ornithorhynchidae
Source: RefSeq, marked provisional